This 271-nucleotide long non-coding RNA is filed under the name Hordeum vulgare. RNAcentral's name for it is "long non-coding RNA (HVUL_LNC007937)". The record is from RNAcentral. Lineage: Eukaryota; Viridiplantae; Streptophyta; Magnoliopsida; Poales; Poaceae.
GUUCCUGAAGUUUUGAGUUCAAAAUAAUCAUUUUAAAGAUGUGGAGUAAUUGGCAAAGAUAAGGGUACAUUAUAUGGGUCGGAACAAUGGUAAUAUGUCCAUGGUCAUCAACAAGAGUGUGAUUUGCAUACCUUUAUACGAUAUUAUUAAAGGUAUUAUUGUUGCUUUGUCGAUUUUUGUAGGCUCUUUUGGACGACAAAAAGGUAAGCUAUCUUACAGUUAAACAGUUGGAAGAAGUAGAAAUCGAACUCUUCCAAGAUAUUUUCCGAAG